ACGGAAGGCAGCAGUGAGGAAUAUUGGACAAUGGGGGCAACCCUGAUCCAGCCAAACCGCGUGAGGGAUGAGGGUUCUACGGAUCGUAAACCCCUUUUAUGUGGGAAUAAUUGCCGGUAUGUAUACUGGUUUGAAGGUACCACUUGAAUAAGCAUCGGCUAACUCCGUGCCAGCAGCCGCGGUAAUACGGAGGAUGCAGGCGUUAUCCGGAUUUAUUAGGUUUAAAGGGUGCGCAGGCGGGACAUUAAGUCGGCGGUGAAAUACCGUGGCCCAACCACGGGGCUGCCGUCGAUACUGAUGACCUAGAGUGCGUGUGACGUAGGCGGAAUGUGACGUGUAGCGGUGAAAUGCUUAGAUAUGUCACAGAACACCGAUUGCGAAGGCAGCCUACGAAUGCGUAACUGACGCUCAUGCACGAAAGCGCGGGUAGCGAACAGGAUUAGAUACCCUGGUA
This 454-nucleotide ribosomal RNA is filed under the name uncultured bacterium. RNAcentral's name for it is "partial 16S ribosomal RNA". It matches the Rfam family "Bacterial small subunit ribosomal RNA", at positions 341 to 792 of the family's 1533-position model. The record is from RNAcentral.